UUUGCGAUUUCUCCCAAAUUCCACCUGACGCGUCUUCUUCUCAAAUCACGCACGCGAUGCAAUUUCUUCUCCAGUCCCAAAUCGCGCGCGUGAUCUUCUUCUCCAAUCCCAAAUCGCGUAGGACUCCAAGGUAGGCACGACUCCAAGUUAAGGUGCACGCGAUCUUCUUUUCCUGUCCCAAAUCGCACACGGCUCGAAGGUAGGCGCGACUCCAACUUAAGGCACACACGAUCUUCUUCCCUGGUCCUAAAUCAUGCACGACUCCAAGGUAGAUAUGAGCUUGAUCGCAUGGAGGUGAACCUAAGAAGGAAAGGGUCCUUCACGUCUUUGAGAGAGGAUCUGAGGGAGAUGUUCUUGCCAGAGGAUCCAUUUUGGUAGCGUUCGGCUGUGGCAGAGUGUCACCAGUCCUCGAGAUCUACGCUAAUGCUCACGUACUUGGUAACCAUUCUGGAAUGGGGGCCAAAAUAUAACCUCACUAAGUUCCAAUGCGAUCUCCUCGUCGGCUUCACCGUCACCAUCCUCGCUGUCCCACAAGGCAUCAGCUACACCCCCCUCGCCUACCUUCACCCCAUCAUCGGCCUCUAUUCGAGUUUCAUCCCGCCGUUAAUCUAUGCGAUAUGUGGUAGCUCCACAAACGUGGCUGUGGGGGACACCGUCGCCGUCUGGCUGUUUCUUGCUUCGGCCAUCGGAGUUGUACACGCAUUUGCUCUUCACCGCCCCCUUCUUCACUGGACUCUUUCAAGCAGCGCUUGACAUCUUCAGAUGGAUGAAUACGUGCAUAUGUAGGCUGACUGUGGAGUUCUUCUCACAUUCGAUGAUCACUGGUUUCAUGGGAGGCACAACGGUCAUCUUCAUCAUGCAACAACUCAAAGGGAUGCUGGGAUUGAAACAUUUCACCACAAACACUGAUCUCGUCUCUAUCAUGUGCUCUAUCAACUCCCACAGAGAUGAGUUUGAUACUUAAUUAAUUAAUUACUUGAAAAUUAAUUAUAAACAAUCUGGGACUGCUAAUCUGCUAUCUAUUGCUAAUAGUUUAAAGUUUUAGUGGAGAUGGGAAAGCGCUGCUCAUGGGAUAUACUUGAUUACCAUUUUGCUCCUCAAUAGUCAUGUGGUUAUGAUAACAUAUGCUUCAUAUUCUUCAGCUAACAGUCAACAAAAGGAACAAUAUAAAGAGAGACAAAAUGUUGUUGAUCAAUCUUGUCAGCCUUCAAUCAAUCUCAAAUCAUGGCGUGAUGUGGUGGGCGUUUGGGCGACCCAUGUAAGGGGAGGGUGCGAGUACGGAUUUGGACGCAAUCAAUACCUUAUAAGAUUACACAAUGAAAGUUUCAAUGACAUGUGCUCUAAUGAGAAGAAUAAAGAAUUAUCUUAAUGAGAAGAAUAAAGAAUUAUCUCAAGAAAUUGAAGAAAUGUGUACUACUAGCAAAAGGAUGGAGGAAGAAAUUAUUGAAAGCAAAAAUAAAUGGGAACUCGUUAUCAAAGAAAAUAGUCAAAGGGAAGAACAACUUAUCGAGGAAAGUAGGCAAAGAGAAGAAAAUCUAAAGGAGAUGGUUCGUAAAAUGAUUCAAGAGAUGGGAUAUACAAAUCAUUUAUAUCCAAGAGGAUAUGGUCUCGUGAGCAUCGUGAUAGACGAAUAAAGAUUAAAUUACUUUU
Long non-coding RNA from Zingiber officinale, 1650 nucleotides. RefSeq lists it as uncharacterized. The transcript has 5 exons. The record is from RefSeq and is a predicted model, not a curated record. NCBI's taxonomy places the organism in Eukaryota, Viridiplantae, Streptophyta, Magnoliopsida, Zingiberales, Zingiberaceae.